AACGAACGCUGGCGGCAUGCCUAACACAUGCAAGUCGAACGAGACCUUCGGGUCUAGUGGCGCACGGGUGCGUAACGCGUGGGAACCUGCCCUUAGGUUCGGAAUAACUCCCCGAAAGGGGUGCUAAUACCAGAUAAUGUCUUCGGACCAAAGAUUUAUCGCCUUUGGAUGGGCCCGCGUUGGAUUAGCUAGUUGGUAGGGUAAAAGCCUACCAAGGCGACGAUCCAUAGCUGGUCUGAGAGGAUGAUCAGCCACACUGGGACUGAGACACGGCCCAGACUCCUACGGGAGGCAGCAGUGGGGAAUAUUGGACAAUGGGCGAAAGCCUGAUCCAGCAAUGCCGCGUGAGUGAUGAAGGCCUUAGGGUUGUAAAGCUCUUUUACCCGGGAUGAUAAUGACAGUACCGGGAGAAUAAGCUCCGGCUAACUCCGU
This 432-nucleotide ribosomal RNA is filed under the name uncultured bacterium. RNAcentral describes it as "partial 16S ribosomal RNA". It matches the Rfam family "Bacterial small subunit ribosomal RNA", at positions 29 to 506 of the family's 1533-position model. The record is from RNAcentral.